This is a long non-coding RNA of Solanum tuberosum (potato), 1511 nucleotides long. RefSeq lists it as uncharacterized. Lineage: Eukaryota; Viridiplantae; Streptophyta; Magnoliopsida; Solanales; Solanaceae. The record is from RefSeq and is a predicted model, not a curated record. The transcript has 2 exons.
AAACUAACUCCAAAUGAGAUUCUGAAUACGCCAAUGAGAUUUUAGAGGUUUUAUAUUUGUUUUGCAGCUUGUAAAACAAGAUUUAAGGCUGGUUGUCGAAAGAUUAUUGGGGUCGAUGGAUGUUGGAUGAAGAAUACUAUGUAUGUGGCACAAUUGCUAUCAACUGUUACUUUGGAUGGAAAUAAUAACAUCUUUUCAAUGGCUUAUGCAAUAGCCAAGAAAGAAAAUAAGGAAAUAUGGCAAUAGUUCUUAACCUACUUGAUGAAUGAUCUUGAGAUUGAAGAGCAAUACUUGUGGACUUUUAUGUCAGAUAAGCAAAAAGGGCUCAUUGAAGCUUUUGAUUUAGUGUUGCCUGGUGUUUCUCAUAGAUUUUGUGUGCGACAUUUGCAUAGCAAUUUCAAGAGAGCUGGAUAUUCUGGAAUGGCUUUAAAAAAUGCUCUUUGGAAGGCAACUUCAACAACAACUAUUGACAGGUUUGAUGCUUGUAUGACUGAUUUGUUUGAAUUAGAUAAAGAUGCUUAUGCAUGGCUUUCUGCUAAAGUGCCUAGUGAAUGGUCAAGAUCACAUUUCUCGUCUCUUCCUAAAUGUGACAUUCUUUUGAACAACUAAUGUGAGGUUUUUAAUAAGUUUAUUCUUGAUGCAAGAGAUAAAUCAAUUGUUAAACUUCUGGAGACCAUUAGGCACUUACUCAUGACAAGAAUUAAUUCUAAUAGGGAGAAAGCUGAAAAAUGGAACUUGAAUGAUAUUUGUCCUACUAUUAAGAAGAAGUUGGUCAAAACUAUGAAGAAAGUUGCUGAUUAUAUUCCCAAAAGGUCGAACAUGUGGAACUAUGAGGUAAUUGGGCCGGUCGAAGGUGAUAAUUGUGUUGUUGACUUAUAUAACAGAACCUGUAGUUGUAGGCAAUGGGAAUUAUCAGGAGUUCCUUGUAAACAUGCUAUAUCCUCGAUUUGGUUGAAAAAUGAUGAGGUUUUAAACUAUGUUGAUGAUUGAUACAAGGUUGAUACAUAUCGAAAAAUUUAUGACGCUUCAAUAUUGCCCAUGAAUGGCCCUGAUUUAUGGCCUAAGUCACUGAAUCCUCCAUAAUUUCCACCUUCUUACUUGAAUAAUAAGAAGAAAGGAAAGAAACAAAAAUUAAGAAGGAAAGAAGAUGAUGAGCCAAGAGCUAGCAGGAUGAAGUUAAAACGGAAACAAAAAUCAGUUGAUUGUAGAAAAUGUGGUAAACCUAGCCACAACAGUAGAACUUGCAGUUUCUCUUCAGAUGACAUUGAAAUUCAUCCGUUGGACUACCUUUGUAGUUUGGACUCCAUCAUGGUCGAGGAAGCAUCAAGUUGCCAAAAUGUUGAAAAGCUACCGGUUAGAAGAGGUACAUCUCAAGCCAGCCAACAACGUCAGAGCUUUCCAUUUUCUCUAUGAAGUUGCAACAUUGAAGAAAAUACAUUUUUAGCUUUGGAUCUUUUUUUUGGAUAUUUGAUGUAUCAAACUAAUGAUAUGUGACUAGUUUUUGUUGUUCA